Molecule: long non-coding RNA, 2438 nt
Organism: Octopus bimaculoides (California two-spot octopus)
Lineage: Eukaryota; Metazoa; Mollusca; Cephalopoda; Octopoda; Octopodidae
Source: RefSeq, a predicted model, not a curated record
CUUGUGUUGUUCAAAAUAUUGCCACUGAUUAAUGGCGACGCAUUUCAGUCCAGCGGAAACCACUUACAGUUAUGUUGACAUACGGUUAUGUUGCCCAGUGAUAUGAAACGAAACACCAACACUUUCGGCUGGUUGUUUAGUACCUUAUCCAUCCUGCCAUCGUGUAAUUACAACAAAACACAUAUAUUUCUUUCAUUAAAUACUUCGUCAUAAUGCUAUUGAAGUAUGAGACAUAUUUUAUUUACAUAGAUAUAAAGACCAGAGUAUAUACGGGCUAGAAAAAGUUACCAGACGUUUUCUUUUACUCUUUCACUCUUUUACUUGUUUCAGUCAUUUGACUGCGGCCAUGCUGGAGCACCACCUUUAGUCGAGCAAAUCGACCCCAAGACUUAUUCUUUGUAAGCCUUGUACUUAUUCUAUCGGUCACUUUUGCCGAACCGCUAAGUUACGGGGACGUAAACACACCAGAAUCGGUUGUCAAGCGAUGUUGGGGGACAAACACAGACACACAAACACACACACACACACACACACACACACACACACACACACACACACACACACACACACACACACACAUAUGUACUACGGACUUCUUUCAGUUUCCGUCUACCAAAUCCACACUCACAAGGCUUUGGUCAGCCCGAGGCUAUAGUAGAAGACACUUGCCCAAGGUGCCACGCAGUGGGACUGAACCCGGAACCAUGUGAUUGGUAAGCAAGCUACUUACUACACAGCCACUCCUACGACGUUCAUAUAUUUUUUGUGCAUUUGAGAGCAAAAUACAUUGAAAUUCCUUUAACCGGAAUUCGAAACCAAAUACUACAUCGCUGGAAGCAAGCUUACAUUUUGCGUUGUCGUUGUGUAACUUUAGGUCAAAUCAGAUCGAAACUAUUAAUCAUAAAGUUUCAGGAGCGCAAUUUCUAUCUUAUUUUUGGACAAUGUAUCUUCUAGAACUAUUGCCCAAUUUGUGUGUUCCCAUAUUAAUACGGUAUGAGAUUUGAGGGGAUUUUAUUGGUGUACUUUCUUUAGCAGCUUAUGCAACCACGAAGAGAUUUUCUCGGUUGGCUACUGUUAUGUCUCAAACUACAGCUAUAUAGCACCUUCAGAUAAUCUCUACUCAACCGCUACACAACUGCUACUCGACUGCUACUCAACACCUACCACGGCCAGACUACCUCUAUUUAUAUGUCUUGUGAGAUCCUACUUCUUCGCCUGGGGGCAUCGACACAACAGCUACCAUGAAAAUACUGCUUGCUGAUUGAUCUCAGACCAGACCAGAUAAUCAGACGAUAUUGCAAAUACUCAUUCACCCUAUGUUGUCUCAGAACGGUGAAAGUGAAGCCAGUGGCGAUGGUGAUAAUAAGACGAGCAGCGGCAGUACAUCGGAAUCCAAAAUGGACAUUGUAAAGUGAAAUGAAAACGUGAGAAAAUGACAAACGUAGCAUGUGUUUAAAACAUGAAACGUCCCACUGCUGUAACAAGUCUAAAGAACAAAGAGUGCUUUAUACAGCGAUGGGAAAAUUGCAGUAUCAACACAUAUAUUGCACGAUAAUUAGUAAGAAAUGAAACUCACUGAUUAGGAGAGAUAGAAAAUGUACUGGCUGUGUGGAUGGACAACAAUAGUGCCGCAAGCCUAUAAAUCUUUUAUUUAAUCCAGCGGAAGGUUGCAAUUAUCUUUGAAGUUUUAAGUGCUGAAUAUGUUCAGUAUAUUGGUGAAUAAACGUUUACUGGUAAUCAUGGAUGGUUGCACAGAUUUAAGGCUUGCUCAGCGUGCGAAAUAUAAAGGGGAACUGAGAGACUACGAGGUUUGACGAAGAAGCAGAAUGGGAGUUUUCUAAAUUAUUGUGGUUGUGUGAUAAGAAGCUUGGUACGUGUGGUAUGAAGGCGGCGAGCUGGGAGAAACGUUAGCACGCCGGGCGAAAUGCUUAGAGGUAUAUCGUCUGCCGUUACGCUCUGAAUUCAAAUUCCACCGAGGUCCACUUUGCCUUUCAUCCUUUCGGGAUCGAUAAAUUAAGUAUCAGUUACGCACUGGUGUCGAUAUAAUCGACUUAAUCCCUUUGUCUGUCCUUGUUUGUCUCCUUUAUGUUUAGCCCCUUGUGGGCAAUAAAGAAAUAAGAAGCUUGCUUCCCAACCACACGGUUCCGGGUUCAGUCCCACUGCGUGGGACUAGAAGACUUAAAUUUAGUAGCUGAUAAAGAGAUAAAUGAAUUAGAAAGGAAUUACAAUGAACUUAUAUUGCUUAGCUACUUUAUUAAGUGUUAAAUGGUUACUGCAACAUGUACUUAGUAAUAUUUUAAUAAUCUACUGAAUAAACUCGCGCAUUUAAUAUUUUAUUUUACUAUUUAGACUGCGUGGUAUUUGACUGAAUUCUUGUUCACACACUCACAACCCUGCUAUACUGACAUUCGUGCCCGCUCACGUAAACGUUCACACGU